This 429-nucleotide ribosomal RNA is filed under the name Chloroflexota bacterium. Its description in RNAcentral is "Chloroflexi bacterium partial 16S ribosomal RNA". It matches the Rfam family "Bacterial small subunit ribosomal RNA", at positions 355 to 776 of the family's 1533-position model. Lineage: Bacteria; Bacillati; Chloroflexota. The record is from RNAcentral.
UGGGGAAUAUUGCACAAUGGGCGCAAGCCUGAUGCAGCCAUGCCGCGUGUAUGAAGAAGGCCUUCGGGUUGUAAAGUACUUUCAGCGGGGAGGAAGGGAGUAAAGUUAAUACCUUUGCUCAUUGACGUUACCCGCAGAAGAAGCACCGGCUAACUCCGUGCCAGCAGCCGCGGUAAUACGGAGGGUGCAAGCGUUAAUCGGAAUUACUGGGCGUAAAGCGCACGCAGGCGGUUUGUUAAGUCAGAUGUGAAAUCCCCGGGCUCAACCUGGGAACUGCAUCUGAUACUGGCAAGCUUGAGUCUCGUAGAGGGGGGUAGAAUUCCAGGUGUAGCGGUGAAAUGCGUAGAGAUCUGGAGGAAUACCGGUGGCGAAGGCGGCCCCCUGGACGAAGACUGACGUUCAGGUGCGAAAGCGUGGGGAGCAAACAGG